AUGUCGCAGAGUUUGAUCCUGGCUCAGGACGAACGCUGGCGGCAUGCCUAAUACAUGCAAGUCGAGCGGAACGUCGGGAGCUUGCUCCCUUCGUUUAGCGGCGGACGGGUGAGUAACACGUGGGCAACCUGCCCUGCAGAUCGGGAUAACUCCGGGAAACCGGUGCUAAUACCGAAUAGUUUUUUGCCCCUCCUGGGGCAAAACGGAAAGACGGUUUCGGCUGUCACUGCAGGAUGGGCCCGCGGCGCAUUAGCUAGUUGGUGGGGUAACGGCCUACCAAGGCGACGAUGCGUAGCCGACCUGAGAGGGUGAUCGGCCACACUGGGACUGAGACACGGCCCAGACUCCUACGGGAGGCAGCAGUAGGGAAUCUUCCGCAAUGGACGAAAGUCUGACGGAGCAAUGCCGCGUGAGUGACGAAGGUUUUCGGAUCGUAAAACUCUGUUGUAAGGGAAGAACAAGUACCAAGUAACUACUGGUACCUUGACGGUACCUUACCAGAAAGCCACGGCUAACUACGUGCCAGCAGCCGCGGUAAUACGUANGUGGCAAGCGUUGUCCGGAAUUAUUGGGCGUAAAGCGCGCCGCAGGCCGGUCCCUUAAGUCUGAUGUGAAACCCACGGUUAACCCGUGGA
RNAcentral lists this ribosomal RNA (635 nucleotides) under Planococcaceae bacterium 293-12. RNAcentral describes it as "SSU rRNA". It matches the Rfam family "Bacterial small subunit ribosomal RNA", at positions 1 to 619 of the family's 1533-position model. Lineage: Bacteria; Bacillati; Bacillota; Bacilli; Caryophanales; Caryophanaceae. The record is from RNAcentral.